UUUUUUUUCCCACACGCUACUGGACACCCAAAAAAGUCGGGACUUUUUGGCUUUGCUGCAAACUAACACCCGGAUAAAUCAGAAAUAUUUUCAAAGAUGAUUUUUUUUUGUACGAUGAUAUUUUUAAGGAGCAGUGAAUUGGUGGGGAACAAAAUGAUAAUUUUUACAAUAUCAAACGACUUUUAUUAAGAUCCAAGAAAUUGAGAAUGGGAAUCAUAGUAGGACUGUGCUAUUUCUUGCUUUAAUAUAUUGGAAAACUAAAUACAGCUUGUAGUAAUAUUUAUAGGUUUGGCGGGGUUGUAUUAAAUUUUGCACGUUAGAUCAAUGUAAUGCUGGCUUGAAAUUUUUUCGUAAUGUCUUUGUUGGAUCCAAUGUCCCUUAAUAAUAGCAGAGCUGUGUAAUUUGAUUCUGUACAUCCACUCAUGUCACUCGUACGUGUUAGUGUCGGUCAUGUUUACUAGCUGUGACAGGCUGUACUGAAGACCAAUCGUCCUUUCUUUCUUUGUAUUCUGACAAGAGUAUAGUGUAUAAAUACUCUUUUCCAGUG
Molecule: long non-coding RNA, 547 nt
Organism: Papaver somniferum (opium poppy)
Lineage: Eukaryota; Viridiplantae; Streptophyta; Magnoliopsida; Ranunculales; Papaveraceae
Exons: 3
Source: RefSeq, a predicted model, not a curated record